GAUGAACGCUGGCGGCGUGCCUAAGACAUGCAAGUCGAGUGGGUUUAGGCCCACGGCGAACGGGUGAGUAAUACCUAGGAACAUCCCUUGAGUUGAGCAUAACCUACCGAAAGGUAGGAUAAUUCUCAAUGUGGCAGCAAUGCUAAAGUCGCAAGACGCUCAGGAAAUGGCCUGGGCACCAUCAGCUAGUUGGUAAGGUAAAGGCUUACCAAGGCUAUGACGGUUAGGGGCCCCGAGAGGGGAAACCCCCA
This 251-nucleotide ribosomal RNA is filed under the name uncultured bacterium. RNAcentral's name for it is "partial 16S ribosomal RNA". It matches the Rfam family "Bacterial small subunit ribosomal RNA", at positions 28 to 310 of the family's 1533-position model. The record is from RNAcentral.